GGGGGGGGUCCUUAAAAAAAGCUGGACUGGACAGCCAACACAGACGUUCUUUAUAAGAAGAGUCAGUCUAGGCUGUACUUUCUCCGAAAGCUGGGCUCAUUUAACAUCUGCUCUAAACUUCUGUACAUGUUUUAUCAGUCAGUGGUGGCGAGUGCUCUCCUCUAUGCUGUGGUCUGUUGGUGCAGCACCAGUAAGAAGAACAUCUCCCGCCUGAAUAAGAUCAUUAAAAAGGCUGGGUCAGUGGUGGGACUGAAGCUGGCUCCAGUGGAAGAUGUGGUUGAG
Molecule: long non-coding RNA, 282 nt
Organism: Thalassophryne amazonica
Lineage: Eukaryota; Metazoa; Chordata; Actinopteri; Batrachoidiformes; Batrachoididae
Exons: 3
Source: RefSeq, a predicted model, not a curated record